Molecule: ribosomal RNA, 254 nt
Filed under: uncultured bacterium
Lineage: Bacteria
Description: partial 16S ribosomal RNA
Rfam family: Bacterial small subunit ribosomal RNA
Source: RNAcentral
UACGUAGGGUGCAAGCGUUAAUCGGAAUUACUGGGCGUAAAGCGUGCGCAGGCGGUUGUGUAAGACAGAUGUGAAAUCCCCCGGGCUCAACCUGGGAACUGCAUUUGUGACUGCACGGCUGGAGUGCGGCAGAGGGGGAUGGAAUUCCGCGUGUAGCAGUGAAAUGCGUAGAUAUGCGGAGGAACACCGAUGGCGAAGGCAAUCCCCUGGGCCUGUACUGACGCUCAUGCACGAAAGCGUGGGGAGCAAACAGG